This 260-nucleotide ribosomal RNA is filed under the name uncultured bacterium. Its description in RNAcentral is "partial 16S ribosomal RNA". It matches the Rfam family "Bacterial small subunit ribosomal RNA", at positions 73 to 334 of the family's 1533-position model. The record is from RNAcentral.
UCUUGCAAACUAAAGAUGGCGACCGGCGCACGGGUGAGUAACACGUAUCCAACCUGCCGAUAACUCGGGGAUAGCCUUUCGAAAGAAAGAUUAAUAUCCGAUAGUAUAUUAAAACCGCAUGGUUUUACUAUUAAAGAAUUUCGGUUAUCGAUGGGGAUGCGUUCCAUUAGUUUGUUGGCGGGGUAACGGCCCACCAAGCCUUCGAUGGAUAGGGGUUCUGAGAGGAAGGUCCCCCACAUUGGAACUGAGACACGGUCCAA